CCUACGGGCGGCUGCAGUGGGGAAUAUUGGACAAUGGGGGCAACCCUGAUCCAGCCAUGCCGCGUGUGUGAAGAAGGCCCUCGGGUUGUAAAGCACUUUCAGUGAGGAAGAACGCCUGGUGGUUAAUACCCAUCAGGAAAGACAUCACUCACAGAAGAAGCACCGGCUAACUCCGUGCCAGCAGCCGCGGUAAUACGGAGGGUGCGAGCGUUAAUCGGAAUUACUGGGCGUAAAGCGCGCGUAGGUGGCUUGAUAAGCCGGUUGUGAAAGCCCCGGGCUCAACCUGCGAACGGCAUCCGGAACUGUCAAGCUAGAGUGCAGGAGAGGAAGGUAGAAUUCCCGGUGUAGCGGUGAAAUGCGUAGAGAUCGGGAGGAAUACCAGUGGCGAAGGCGGCCUUCUGGACUGACACUGACACUGAGGUGCGAAAGCGUGGGUAGCAAACAGGAUUAGAUACCCUUGUAGUC
This 465-nucleotide ribosomal RNA is filed under the name Vreelandella stevensii. RNAcentral's name for it is "partial 16S ribosomal RNA". It matches the Rfam family "Bacterial small subunit ribosomal RNA", at positions 338 to 795 of the family's 1533-position model. Lineage: Bacteria; Pseudomonadati; Pseudomonadota; Gammaproteobacteria; Oceanospirillales; Halomonadaceae. The record is from RNAcentral.